This 4055-nucleotide unclassified non-coding RNA is filed under the name Mizuhopecten yessoensis (Yesso scallop). Its description in RNAcentral is "uncharacterized LOC110441794, transcript variant X1". Lineage: Eukaryota; Metazoa; Mollusca; Bivalvia; Pectinida; Pectinidae. The record is from RNAcentral.
CAAUUACCAUAAAUUAACAGUGUUGUUUAAAUUUCAACAUAUAAGACGCUCGAAAAUGACAUACUUCCUUAAAAUGAGGACGUUUACAACAUUGGAUACUUCCUGUACCAUGCUAUAUAAGAUUGACGCAAUGUCCGGGAUACGACCACUCCACCAUGGAUAAUUUGGUAGUGAUCGCGAGCGUCCUUGUAUUCAGCGGGAUCACCAGCGCAAUCAAUGUCACAGUGUCGGAUCUCCGGUCAGGACAAUUCCUGACGCGCUGCGUCACACGACAUGCCGACUUCAUGAAUAUCACCUGUCCCAGCCACAAAGUGAUGCUGGCACCUAAACUCAUAGCUGGGUACUCAGACAGCAGCAAGUGCGUUUUUAAUGGAAAUGAUUGUCUGGGAAUGAGUAAAUCACUGGAAAGGGAGACUCAAGCAUGCGCAAACCAAGAGACUUGUUCUAUAAAUUUACGAAGAAUUCUGGAGACACUUGUUCCCUUACCGGGACAGAGAAAAAUAUGCAAGGGGAAACCGUUGACAUAUGUGUCUGUCAUUCCCCCAAAAUGUGUCGAUAAAGGUACCAUACACGACAUGUGUUCGGGAAACGAAGCCCUACCCAUUAACCCCGACAGUGGUAUUAUCAGUAGCUACAACAACCCUGGACGAACCAUUAACACACCAUGCAUUAGACGUUUUGGGAGUACGAGUGACGUCAUUAGGUUAUCACUCAACUUUUUGGACAUUCAAAUUGGACUUAAAAAUCGACCUAGAGUAGUCUGGACCUCAGAGAGCGGGGAAUUAAGAAAGAAAACAUUUAAAAAACUCGCUACUUUUUCCGAAAAGGGUUCCAAAUUUGAGAUAAAAUGGCGCCCACAAAACACUGACACAACACGUGAAGGCUGUGUUGUAUACUAUAAUGUGAAAGUUAUUGGAAAAUCGACGCAAGGAAACCUUCGCUUAGCGAGUGACCAACCGUCGCAGACUCCAACGCAUUAUCUCGUACAAGCAACGUUGAAGACUAGCAUGACAUGGAAUGACAAGCAAUCCAUUUCGAUGUCCUGUCCUCGAGGCAAAGUUAUAUACGCCCCGGAUGUAACCGUCACCAGCAGUAGAUAUACCGGAUGUGAGGGACUUUCUCCGCACCUUCUCGUGCAGCGUAACGAGUGCUACUGGCGUAGAAAUUGUACAAUGGAAUGGCGAGGACCAGCAUUCCUUACAAUGACGUCAUCAGCUCGCUGUUUUGGCCGUGUUGCUGACAUCUUUAAAAGCAGAGGCUUCAAAUGUGAAAAGGAAGGCAACAUUAUUAACAUUUGUGACACCAGAGUAGCAAAAUUGCCGACCGGUAUUGUCCGCAGCCACGGCAAAUAUCCCUGGCACUACCCCAGAGUGAACAAAAGAUGCCGACAGCGGAUUAGGAUAGGACGUGGCCGACAGCUGACCCUCCAACUGGACGACGUCGACAUAGACGAUGAAAGGGACACCUUCUUCCUAAGACAUAUCAGGAAAGGGCGAAAAACGACCAUUUUAUUCAGAGGCAAUGAUGGGAACAUGUCGAAAACUUUGUCAGGAGGUACCGUAGAGAUUACCUUCUCGACAAAACGUCGAUCCAAGGCAGGGUCGGGAUUUAUACUCCAUUAUGAACGAACGUCUAAAAAUAGAAAAAAGGUUAGGAGUGGCGAAAGAAACAAGCGACGUUCGAGAGGGACCGGUACAGCAAAGACAUUACCGUGAUGAUGACGGUGACUAUGAGAGAACGUGAAGUAUAUGUAUUAAAUUCAGGACUGCUUCCAGUUGGCAUUGAUAGUAAUUCACCCUGGAAAGGACAAUUUCUAUUUCCAUAAGCAUUUUAUUGCUUCAAUAUAUGUACUGUAGAAUGAAAAUGACUUCGCUGUAGAAAAGUUUGGUUUUUCGUGUACGGAAUCGGUGACACACACACAGAAACACUAAACACUUUAUUGCAUAAGCAUUGCCAACAUAAACGGGACUGCAUCUCGAAUAUUUUUGUAGAGCCACAACUUGAACUCUUUUGUCAACAACAAUAAUACAUAUAUUUAUAAUUCCAUAAAUAGUCAUACACAAUCGAUACGGACAUUGCAAGAAAAAUACUACAUUUAUAAGUAUGUCACAACCGUACAACGCGGUGGCAGAAUGUUUAAGGCGUCCGACGGUCCUCAUUACUAUAGCCCUCCACCACUGGGUCGCGGAUCGGUGGAUUUCUCCGAAAACUCCGGCUUUUCUCGACCUCAAUACCUGGCACCUCCUUAAAUAUUUAUAAGACGAGACAAACAAAACAGAACAAACAAAUAACAGCCGAAAUCGACAGGUUAAAAGUAAUAGUAUGAUGAUUUCACCACAAAAGUACAGAUAGACAUAUUAAACAGUGGUACAAACGUUAUCACAGUAUAUCUAUAUUUAAUAACGGUAGUACAUCACAACUUCCAAAUUUGAUUUUCAAACUUUUUAGGAUUUUUUUUCGAAAUAUUGGUGUCGGAAAACGACAAUAUCAUAAGAUUGGUAUACGUAUGUCACAGUCGGACAAGAUUUGCUUACAGCAAUACAGUAGAUAACCAUGUAUGUAAGAGUUAUAAAUGACCGUCUCACAACAGACUAUGUACAGAACUUACACCAAUAAUAAUAUAUAUUACUUGUAACAGGUUAUUGAUUUUUUAUCUCGCACUUUUUAGUUCGAAAAAAAAUCAAUUUCGCUAAAGACUACAAGCGUCCCGUCUCGGGCCUCAAAUACAUAUGGCCUCUACACUCCUAAAGUUACAUUUGAAUGCUUCCGUGUAAAAUAUUGUCCGCCCUAACAAAGAAGACAAUUCAUUUCACAGUGUAGAUUCUAUUUAAUCGAGAACAUCAGGAAUCUAACAACAUCAAAAUAAUACUUUUAACGACAAAACAGAAUAUUUCUAAUGAACAUUAUCAAUUUCGAGCAUUAAACGCGCAGAUGCUUAAAUCGCUGCGUAAAAGUUCCGCGAAAUGUCGCAUAUAGGUACUAGACAAAUAAGACGAGAUGGAAAAAAAUCUAGCAUGGGGUAUGACGUGGGAUAUCUCUAUCUGAGGUGUGAGAAUACGAAUAUCAUAGACCCCGAACGUCCGUGUACACUCCUGUUUUGAAUGUUGCGUUUCGCGGGACAGUAUAUGUUUCAUUUCACUGAGGUACCAUUUUAAAUAUUGACUGAUGUCUACAUGUAGACGUUUAAAGAGACACUUGGUGUUUUCUCAUUUUUUUAAUGAUAUAUUUUCUUUUUGCACAUUAGCAGUAUGUAUUUUUUGUGUGUGGUUAUUUAUACGAUUACGUAGCAUAACUGUUCUCACAAAAAUACAUACUUUUAUAAAGGUUGUAUAAGAUGUUGUUGUCGCUCUUGCUGCUUCUAUAAUAAUAAUAAGAAAAUCAUUAAUGGAUAUUACACUGUAGACAUAUAGAUUAUGACAUUGGCUCUGACUGGAUAAAUGUAUGCCUUUUAUAAAUCCUUCUGUGUUCUGUAUACACAAACAUGUGCAAUAGCUAUAUUUUGUCUCUGCAUUUAUCUGUCGACACACAAUAACAUUUUUGUUUUGAUCAAGACACAUAUCAUUGUGUUAUGUAUGCUUGUUUUACGACGAUUGUAAAGAGGAUGAAGAUGUUAGUGUUUGUGUAUUCGAUAGAGAUACAUUGUAUAUUAGAUGUAACAGAAGGCUGUCCGCAAUUACAUCAAUCAUACAUCACAAUUCCACAGGUACUUCAAUAUGUGUUCAAUUACAUGAUAUCGACUUCCCUACAUUUGUUAUUUAUAUGAAAUAUCCACAUGUGUUUAUAUCGGAGCGGCAUUAUUUGUAAACUUUAAGUAUUUGAAACUUACACUGUAGUGAUUUAUGAUUUAAAAUAGGAACCAUACACAUUUAUAUAUGUAUUUUCAAAUAUGGUGUGUAGGUGUAGUUUUGCAUUUGUGCAUACAACUGAGAAUUAUCGAAAGGAAAUAAUGCACGACUAUUUGGAUGAUUCUUCUAAUUUGUGUUAAUUUAUUAAUUUAUUCAAAACACAUGCAAAUGAAUAAUCGAAUAUUGUAUCAAAUAAAAAAAAAAAAUGUC